RNAcentral lists this ribosomal RNA (468 nucleotides) under uncultured bacterium. Its description in RNAcentral is "partial 16S ribosomal RNA". It matches the Rfam family "Bacterial small subunit ribosomal RNA", at positions 28 to 507 of the family's 1533-position model. The record is from RNAcentral.
GACGAACGCUGGCGGCGUGCUUAACACAUGCAAGUCGAACGGAAAGGCCCUGCUUUUGUGGGGUGCUCGAGUGGCGAACGGGUGAGUAACACGUGAGUAACCUGCCCUUGACUUUGGGAUAACUUCAGGAAACUGGGGCUAAUACCGGAUAGGAGCUCCUGCUGCAUGGUGGGGGUUGGAAAGUUUCGGCGGUUGGGGAUGGACUCGCGGCUUAUCAGCUUGUUGGUGGGGUAGUGGCUUACCAAGGCUUUGACGGGUGGCCGGCCUGAGAGGGUGACCGGCCACAUUGGGACUGAGAUACGGCCCAGACUCCUACGGGAGGCAGCAGGGGGGAAUAUUGCACAAUGGGCGGAAGCCUGAUGCAGCAACGCCGCGUGCGGGAUGACGGCCUUCGGGUUGUAAACCGCUUUCGCCUGUGACGAAGCGUGAGUGACGGUAAUGGGUAAAGAAGCACCGGCUAACUACGUG